Molecule: long non-coding RNA, 345 nt
Filed under: Trifolium pratense (red clover)
Lineage: Eukaryota; Viridiplantae; Streptophyta; Magnoliopsida; Fabales; Fabaceae
Description: long non-coding RNA (TPRA_LNC008150)
Source: RNAcentral
UUCAUUGUAACCACACAAAAAGUGUAUUUUAGGUCAACAACAACGCGAAAAGCACCUAUGAAAUGCCAUUUUAUUUUUGGUAAACAUGUUUAUGAACCAAUUUUUAAGCAUAUUAUCGCACUUUUUGGGAUGUUUUACUUUUCAGAAUUCAUUUCUAAGUUCUAACUUGGUAUGUAAAAUUGAGGUAAAGGGUCUGUAAUAUUUACUCAUGCAUUAUUUAUUUAUAUUAAGGGUGCCUUUGUUUCCAGGAUUCCAAAUUCUUUCCGAGAAAAUCUAUUCCUAGGAUUAUAAUGGCAGACAUUUUAUUCGCAUGUAUUUGUAAAAAAAAAGUGUUUAGUUAGUGUU